AGUGAACGCUGGCGGUAGGCCUAACACAUGCAAGUCGAACGGCAGCACAGUAAGAGCUUGCUCUUACGGGUGGCGAGUGGCGGACGGGUGAGGAAUACAUCGGAAUCUACUUUUUCGUGGGGGAUAACGUAGGGAAACUUACGCUAAUACCGCAUACGACCUACGGGUGAAAGCAGGGGAUCUUCGGACCUUGCGCGAUUGAAUGAGCCGAUGUCGGAUUAGCUAGUUGGCGGGGUAAAGGCCCACCAAGGCGACGAUCCGUAGCUGGUCUGAGAGGAUGAUCAGCCACACUGGAACUGAGACACGGUCCAGACUCCUACGGGAGGCAGCAGUGGGGAAUAUUGGACAAUGGGAGCAAGCCUGAUCCAGCCAUACCGAGUGGGUGAAGAAGGCCUUCGGGUUGUAAAGCCCUUUUGUUGGGAAAGACAAGCAGCAGGUUAAUACCCCGCUGUUCUGACGGUACCCAAAGAAUAAGCACCAGCUAACUUCGUG
Molecule: ribosomal RNA, 492 nt
Filed under: uncultured bacterium
Lineage: Bacteria
Description: partial 16S ribosomal RNA
Rfam family: Bacterial small subunit ribosomal RNA
Source: RNAcentral